RNAcentral lists this ribosomal RNA (251 nucleotides) under uncultured bacterium. RNAcentral describes it as "partial 16S ribosomal RNA". It matches the Rfam family "Bacterial small subunit ribosomal RNA", at positions 57 to 305 of the family's 1533-position model. The record is from RNAcentral.
GCAAGUCGAGGGGUAACAUUGGUGCUUGCACCAGAUGACGACCGGCGCACGGGUGCGUAACGCGUAUGCAACCUACCUCAUACAGUGGGAUAGCCCGAAGAAAUUCGGAUUAAUACCACAUAACAUUGUGAUAUCGCAUGAUAUUAUAAUUAAAACUCCGGUGGUAUGAGAUGGGCAUGCGUGACAUUAGGUAGUUGGUGGGGUAACGGCCCACCAAGCCAACGAUGUCUAGGGGUUCUGAGAGGAAGGUC